UGGUGGAGUGAUUUGUCUGGUUAAUUCCGAUAACGAAUGAGACCUUAACCUGCUAAAUAGUUUCGCCAACCCCUGUUGGUAGAAACUUCUUAGAGGGACUAACUACGUUCAGUAGUUGGAAGUUUGAGGCAAUAACA
This 137-nucleotide ribosomal RNA is filed under the name uncultured eukaryote. Its description in RNAcentral is "partial 18S ribosomal RNA". It matches the Rfam family "Eukaryotic small subunit ribosomal RNA", at positions 1299 to 1458 of the family's 1831-position model. The record is from RNAcentral.